CCUACGGGAGGCAGCAGUGAGGAAUAUUGGUCAAUGGACGAGAGUCUGAACCAGCCAAGUAGCGUGAAGGAUGACUGCCCUAUGGGUUGUAAACUUCUUUUAUAUGGGAAUAAAACGUUCCACGUGUGGGAUUUUGUAUGUACCAUAUGAAUAAGGAUCGGCUAACUCCGUGCCAGCAGCCGCGGUAAUACGGAGGAUCCGAGCGUUAUCCGGAUUUAUUGGGUUUAAAGGGAGCGUAGGUGGAAUGUUAAGUCAGUUGUGAAAGUUUGCGGCUCAACCGUAAAAUUGCAGUUGAAACUGGCAGUCUUGAGUACAGUAGAGGUGAGCGGAAUUCGUGGUGUAGCGGUGAAAUGCUUAGAUAUCACGAAGAACUCCGAUUGCGAAGGCAGUUCACUGGACUGCAACUGACACUGAGGCUCGAAAGUGUGGGUAUCAAACAGGAUUAGAUACCCGGGUAGUC
Molecule: ribosomal RNA, 460 nt
Filed under: uncultured bacterium
Lineage: Bacteria
Description: partial 16S ribosomal RNA
Rfam family: Bacterial small subunit ribosomal RNA
Source: RNAcentral